GACGAACGCUGGCGGCGUGCUUAACACAUGCAAGUCGAACGGGUCUGCCCUGUUUUUUGCGGGGUGGGUCAGUGGCGAACGGGUGAGUAACACGUGAGUAACCUGCCCCUCACUUCUGGAUAACCGCUUGAAAGGGUGGCUAAUACGGGGUGUUCUGGCUGUGCCGCAUGGUGUGGCUGGGAAAGAUUCACUUUUGUGGUGUUUUGGUGGGGGAUGGGCUCGCGGACUAUCAGCUUGUUGGUGGGGUGAUGGCCUGCCAAGGCUUUGAGGGGUAGCCGGCAUGGGAGGGUGGGCGGUACUAGUGGGACGGAGAGACGGCCCAGACUCCGGCGGGAGGCAGCAGGGGGGGGUAUUGCACAAUGGGCGGAAGCCUGAUGCAGCGACGUGGCGGGAGGGAUGGAGGCCUUCGGGUUGUGAACCUCUUUCGCCGGUGAAGAAGGUCCUGCUAUUUGUGGUGGGGUUGACGGUAGCCGGGUUAUGAAGCGCCGGCUAACUACGUG
This 500-nucleotide ribosomal RNA is filed under the name uncultured bacterium. RNAcentral's name for it is "partial 16S ribosomal RNA". It matches the Rfam family "Bacterial small subunit ribosomal RNA", at positions 28 to 507 of the family's 1533-position model. The record is from RNAcentral.